RNAcentral lists this ribosomal RNA (324 nucleotides) under Maridesulfovibrio ferrireducens. RNAcentral describes it as "bacterial SSU rRNA". It matches the Rfam family "Bacterial small subunit ribosomal RNA", at positions 162 to 483 of the family's 1533-position model. The record is from RNAcentral. Lineage: Bacteria; Pseudomonadati; Thermodesulfobacteriota; Desulfovibrionia; Desulfovibrionales; Desulfovibrionaceae.
GCUAAUACCGGAUAAUCUUCAUGUUUAACUUCAUGGGGUAAAGGUGGCCUCUGCUUGCAAGCUACCACAUCAGGAUGAGCCCGCGUCUCAUUAGCUAGUUGGUGGGGUAACGGCCUACCAAGGCGACGAUGAGUAGCUGGUCUGAGAGGAUGACCAGCCACACUGGGACUGGAACACGGCCCAGACUCCUACGGGAGGCAGCAGUGGGGAAUAUUGCGCAAUGGGCGAAAGCCUGACGCAGCGACGCCUCGUGAGGGAUGAAGGUCUUCGGAUCGUAAACCUCUGUCAAGAGGGAAGAAACCAUUGGAGUCGAAUAGGCUUCUU